This 253-nucleotide ribosomal RNA is filed under the name uncultured bacterium. RNAcentral describes it as "partial 16S ribosomal RNA". It matches the Rfam family "Bacterial small subunit ribosomal RNA", at positions 524 to 776 of the family's 1533-position model. The record is from RNAcentral.
UACGGAGGGUGCAAGCGUUAAUCGGAAUUACUGGGCGUAAAGCGCACGCAGGCGGUUGGAUAAGUUAGAUGUGAAAGCGCCGGGCUCAAACUGGGAAUUGCAUUUAAAACUGUACAGCUUGAGUCUUGUAGAGGGGGGUAGAAUUCCAGGUGUAGCGGUGAAAUGAGUAGAGAUCUGGAGGGAUACCGGUGGCGAAGGGGGCCCCCUGGACAAAGACUGACGCUCAGGUGCGAAAGCGUGGGGAGCAAACAGG